This 203-nucleotide ribosomal RNA is filed under the name Proteus mirabilis. Its description in RNAcentral is "partial 16S ribosomal RNA". It matches the Rfam family "Bacterial small subunit ribosomal RNA", at positions 1 to 211 of the family's 1533-position model. Lineage: Bacteria; Pseudomonadati; Pseudomonadota; Gammaproteobacteria; Enterobacterales; Morganellaceae. The record is from RNAcentral.
UAAUUGAAGAGUUUGAUCAUGGCUCAGAUUGAACGCUGGCGGCAGGCCUAACACAUGCAAGUCGAGCGGUAACAGGAGAAAGCUUGCUUUCUUGCUGACGAGCGGCGGACGGGUGAGUAAUGUAUGGGGAUCUGCCCGAUAGAGGGGGAUAACUACUGGAAACGGUGGCUAAUACCGCAUAAUGUCUACGGACCAAAGCAGGG